UUGAAAUACCACCCUUUAAUGUUUGAUGUUCUAACGUGGACCCGUGAUCCGGGUUGCGGACAGUGUCUGGUGGGUAGUUUGACUGGGGCGGUCUCCUCCUAAAGAGUAACGGAGGAGCACGAAGGUUGGCUAAUCCUGGUCGGACAUCAGGAGGUUAGUGCAAUGGCAUAAGCCAGCUUGACUGCGAGCGUGACGGCGCGAGCAGGUGCGAAAGCAGGUCAUAGUGAUCCGGUGGUUCUGAAUGGAAGGGCCAUCGCUCAACGGAUAAAAGGUACUCCGGGGAUAACAGGCUGAUACCGCCCAAGAGUUCAUAUCGACGGCGGUGUUUGGCACCUCGAUGUCGGCUCAUCACAUCCUGGGGCUGAAGUAGGUCCCAAGGGUAUGGCUGUUCGCCAUUUAAAGUGGUACGCGAGCUGGGUUUAGAACGUCGUGAGACAGUUCGGUCCCUAUCUGCCGUGGGCGCUGGAGAACUGAGGGGGGCUGCUCCUAGUACGAGAGGACCGGAGUGGACGCAUCACUGGUGUUCGGGUUGUCAUGCCAAUGGCACUGCCCGGUAGCUAAAUGCGGAAGAGAUAAGUGCUGAAAGCAUCUAAGCACGAAACUUGCC
Molecule: ribosomal RNA, 607 nt
Filed under: Escherichia coli
Lineage: Bacteria; Pseudomonadati; Pseudomonadota; Gammaproteobacteria; Enterobacterales; Enterobacteriaceae
Description: partial 23S ribosomal RNA
Rfam family: Bacterial large subunit ribosomal RNA
Source: RNAcentral